UUGAACGCUGGCGGCAUGCCUUACACCUGCAAGUCGAACGGUAACAGGUCUUCGGAUGCUGACGAGUGGCGACCGGGUGAGUAAUACAUCGGAACGUGCCCGAUCGUGGGGGAUAACGGAGCGAAAGCUUUGCUAAUACCGCAUACGAUCUACGGAUGAAAGCAGGGGACCGCAAGGCCUUGCGCGGACGGAGCGGCCGAUGGCAGAUUAGGUAGUUGGUGGGAUAAAAGCUUACCAAGCCGACGAUCUGUAGCUGGUCUGAGAGGACGACCAGCCACACUGGGACUGAGACACGGCCCAGACUCCUACGGGAGGCAGCAGUGGGGAAUUUUGGACAAUGGGCGAAAGCCUGAUCCAGCCAUGCCGCGUGCAGGAUGAAGGCCUUCGGGUUGUAAACUGCUUUUGUACGGAACGAAAAGACUCUUUCUAAUAAAGAGGGUCCAUGACGGUACCGUAAGAAUAAGCACCGGCUAACUACGUG
RNAcentral lists this ribosomal RNA (481 nucleotides) under uncultured bacterium. Its description in RNAcentral is "partial 16S ribosomal RNA". It matches the Rfam family "Bacterial small subunit ribosomal RNA", at positions 30 to 507 of the family's 1533-position model. The record is from RNAcentral.